UACGUAGGGUGCGAGCGUUGUCCGGAAUUAUUGGGCGUAAAGAGCUUGUAGGCGGUUUGUCGCGUCUGCUGUGAAAAUCCGGGGCUCAACCCCGAGUCGGCCGUGCGAACUGGGCUCACUGGAGCAUAGUAGAGGCAGGUGGAAUUCCGGGUGUAGCGGUGGAAUGCGUAGAGAUCCGGAAGAACACCGGUGGCGAAGGCGGCCUGCUGGGCUAUGGCUGACACUGAGGCGCGACAGCGUGGGGAGCAAACAGG
This 254-nucleotide ribosomal RNA is filed under the name uncultured bacterium. RNAcentral's name for it is "partial 16S ribosomal RNA". It matches the Rfam family "Bacterial small subunit ribosomal RNA", at positions 524 to 776 of the family's 1533-position model. The record is from RNAcentral.